UGUGCUGUCUGUCCCAGGGUGUGUUGGUCCAGAGCAGUUUCCGGAUGUGUUCAGUGCUUUAGCGGCGGUGCUGCGCUAAUCGGAGCCGGGGGCUGCUCCUGUGUUGGAGCCGGCCUGCCUCCAGGAGGCACGGCUUUUGGCUGUGCUGUGUUUGCCGGGACGGCCUGGGCUCUCCCGUUGUCUGUGUGCGAUGCUGUGUCUGAGCGGAGCGGCUCCGGGAGCUGCGGCCAGCAGCCCGGGCUCGCUGCUGCUGCUGCUCUGGCAGAGCAUCCGAUUGUGUUCCGCGUCAGGCGGCCGCUUCCCCUGGGCUGACCAUUACGGCACCAAGUCCAGGUAUGAGGGACCGAGUGCAGAGCCACUGCCUGGCACCAGCUGGCUGGCACCUGCCAACUGCACCGCUCUGCAGCUCAAUGCUCUGGUUCGGCAUGGCACCAGGUACCCCACCAGGAAGAAUGUGCCCCGUAUGAGGGAGGUGCACCAGCUGAUCAAAGAGCAGGGUGACCCAGGCAACAGCCUGGUACAGGCUCUGGCAGGCUGGCACAUGUGGUACAACGAGCGCAUGGACGGCAACCUCCACCCCCUGGGCACCGCCGAAAUGGUCAGGCUGGCCAAACGGCUGGCCGCCCAGUUCCCCACCCUCUUCACCGCCCGGUGUUACUGGGAGGGCCGGCUCAAAUUCAUCACCAGCUCCAAGCACAGGUGCGUCAACAGCACCAGGGCUUUCAUCCAGGGGGUGGAGAGCUACCUGAACCUGCGGGAGCAGGCGGGCGGGCAGUGGGAGGUCAACGAUGGGCUGCUGCGCUUCUUCGACCACUGCCAAAAGUUCAUAAACCGAGUGGAAAACAACGACACAGCCCUGCACCAAGUGGAGCUCUUCAAGAGGGGCCCAGAGAUGGAACGAGUCAUGAGAAACAUGGGAAAGAAACUUGGCAUCUCACCGGAGGCUCUAACCACCAAUAUGGUGGAAGCAACAUUUUAUCUUUGCACUUAUGAGUUCAUCCUUAAAGGCAUCGUUUCCCCCUGGUGUGACGUGUUUGAAAAGGAAGAUGCCGAGGUAUUGGAAUAUCUGGGUGAUCUGAAGCAAUACUGGAAGAGAAGCUAUGGAUACAAAAUUAAUGGUCUGUCUAGCUACAAGCUGUUCCAAGAUCUCUUCCACUAUAUGGACCAGACCAUUGAGGAGAGUGAGAGGAACCAGUCCAUAUCUCACACCGCUGUCAUACGCUUCGGACACGCAGAGACUCUCCUGCCAGUCCUGACUCUCAUGGGUUACUUUAAGGACAAAUACCCGUUACUGGCGAAUAAUUUUGAAGCACAGAAAGGUCGCAAGUUCCGAAGCGGAUGGAUUUCUCCGUUUGCUGCAAACCUUGUUCUCAUGCUGUACAGGUGCAAUGAAGCACGGGGCCUGGGAGAAAAGUACAAACUCCAGCUGUUUCUGAAUGAGAAGCCACUGCCAUUUGCUCACAGUGGAAAGCUUGUGACCGACUAUGAGGAAGUAAAGUACAGCUAUGAGCACCUCACCGAAUCACUGAAAUUCAACAACGUAUGUGAGUUUGCCACAAGAGAAGACUUAAUUUCACUAGAACGUGAUGAAUUAUGAGCUAGCUGUGUCUGUUUGCUCUGAUGGGCUCAGAUUUGCCACCAAAUCACUAGAAUAUGGAUUUGUUUUGUUUUUAAUGGGAAGGUUUCCUCAGAUACUUGACACACACUGUAGAUGUCGCUGCAUCUGUUUUGUCAGCACUUGGGACAGAUCACUCUGUUUUGAGGCAGGAAUUUAUCCUGUGGGAUUUUGAAUGUCACAGCACACUUCAGUAUUAGUCAACUGACCGUGUCUGUAAGCAGUAUCCUGUGUAUUUCACGUUUCUUGACUCUAUCAGAAAGUAUGUUAAUAAUGGAUGUUUGAAGGACUGAAACUGCUGCUAAACCUCCAAUGUCAGAAAACUGAAUUGUGUGUGAUGACCACAGUUACUUCCAUUUCAUUUUAUUUCUCUUUCUCCUUCUUUUGUUUCUAAUUUAUUAUUAAAAUUGCCAUCAAUUAGA
Molecule: RNA transcript, 2037 nt
Organism: Hemiscyllium ocellatum (epaulette shark)
Lineage: Eukaryota; Metazoa; Chordata; Chondrichthyes; Orectolobiformes; Hemiscylliidae
Gene: minpp1b
Gene name: multiple inositol-polyphosphate phosphatase 1b
Exons: 5
Source: RefSeq, a predicted model, not a curated record